GGGGGUGUAGCUCACAUGGUAGAGCGUUCCCUUAGCAUGUAGAAAUCACACCUUGAAGUGUCUCCAAGCUAAAAUGGGAAAGGUACGGGGAUCGAUACCCUGCACCUCCA
This 110-nucleotide transfer RNA is filed under the name Chloropicon primus. Its description in RNAcentral is "tRNA-Ala". It matches the Rfam family "tRNA". From Rfam's summary of the family: Transfer RNA (tRNA) molecules are approximately 80 nucleotides in length. Their secondary structure includes four short double-helical elements and three loops (D, anti-codon, and T loops). The record is from RNAcentral. Lineage: Eukaryota; Viridiplantae; Chlorophyta; Chloropicophyceae; Chloropicales; Chloropicaceae.